AUUGAACGCUGGCGGCAGGCCUAACACAUGCAAGUCGAGCGGAUGAGGGGAGCUUGCUCCUGGAUUCAGCGGCGGACGGGUGAGUAAUGCCUAGGAAUCUGCCUGGUAGUGGGGGAUAACGUCCGGAAACGGGCGCUAAUACCGCAUACGUCCUGAGGGAGAAAGUGGGGGAUCUUCGGACCUCACGCUAUCAGAUGAGCCUAGGUCGGAUUAGCUAGUUGGUGGGGUAAAGGCCUACCAAGGCGACGAUCCGUAACUGGUCUGAGAGGAUGAUCAGUCACACUAGAACUGAAACACGGUCCAGACUACUACGGGAGGCAGCAGUGGGGAAUAUUGGACAAUGGGCGAAAGCCUGAUCCAGCCAUGCCGCGUGUGUGAAGAAGGUCUUCGGAUUGUAAAGCACUUUAAGUUGGGAGGAAGGGCAGUAAGUUAAUACCUUGCUGUUUUGACGUUACCAACAGAAUAAGCACCGGCUAACUUCGUG
This 484-nucleotide ribosomal RNA is filed under the name uncultured bacterium. RNAcentral describes it as "partial 16S ribosomal RNA". It matches the Rfam family "Bacterial small subunit ribosomal RNA", at positions 30 to 507 of the family's 1533-position model. The record is from RNAcentral.